GAUGAACGCUGGCGGCGUGCCUAAUACAUGCAAGUCGAGCGAACAGACGAGGAGCUUGCUCCUCUGACGUUAGCGGCGGACGGGUGAGUAACACGUGGAUAACCUACCUAUAAGACUGGGAUAACUUCGGGAAACCGGAGCUAAUACCGGAUAAUAUAUUGAACCGCAUGGUUCAAUAGUGAAAGACGGUUUUGCUGUCACUUAUAGCUGGAUCCGAGCCGCAUUAGCUAGUUGGUAAGGUAACGGCUUACCAAGGCGACGAUGCGUAGCCGACCUGAGAGGAUGAUCGGCCACACUGGAACUGAGACACGGUCCAGACUCCUACGGGAGGCAGCAGUAGGGAAUCUUCCGCAAUGGGCGAAAGCCUGACGGAGCAACGCCGCGUGAGUGAUGAAGGUCUUCGGAUCGUAAAACUCUGUUAUUAGGGAAGAACAAAUGUGUAAGUAACUAUGCACGUCUUGACGGUACCUAAUCAGAAAGCCACGGCUAACUACGUG
RNAcentral lists this ribosomal RNA (497 nucleotides) under uncultured bacterium. RNAcentral describes it as "partial 16S ribosomal RNA". It matches the Rfam family "Bacterial small subunit ribosomal RNA", at positions 28 to 507 of the family's 1533-position model. The record is from RNAcentral.